GUGAGCUACAGUCAAAGUCACUUCUGACAAUAGAUUUGUACAAAAUUGAAAGUAUUUUGGGAUCUGCUCUCCAGGAUAUACCAGCAAUACAUUUCAUAACAUUUAAUCCCUUAAGUGCACUUUUGGAUAUGGUUUUUAUAUAUUUUUCAAAUUUCAGAGAUUAAACUGGCAAAACUAUCUGCACAUCAACACCCUCUACGAAAUCCGUAUUGAAAUUGUGGGAUAAUAUUAUUGGAUUCAACAUACCAGUUGAGACAAACUUUAAUCAUAUUUUCAAAUAUUUUACCAAGACAAGAAGAUAAGGAUAUUGGUCUGUAAGAACUGGCAAGCUCCGGAGAUUUGUCAGGCUUGAGUAUGGGGAUAACACAUUGAGUUUUCCAUGAUUGUGGAAUAAUUUUCUUGUACCAAAGUAGAUUUAGGAUAUUAAGGAAAACCUUUUGAGCAGAUUCAUCAAAAUUUUUAAUAAUCAUGUAAGGAUAAUCAUCGAGACCUGGAGUUGUGUUUUGUCUAGAUUGUAAACUCUUUGUAAAUUCAUUCCAUGUAAAUGAAUUAAGUAAAAAUUUUGAAUUUUUA
Molecule: long non-coding RNA, 573 nt
Organism: Leptidea sinapis
Lineage: Eukaryota; Metazoa; Arthropoda; Insecta; Lepidoptera; Pieridae
Exons: 2
Source: RefSeq, a predicted model, not a curated record